CAUCUCUACACCAGGAAUUUAUGUCUUCACUGUAUUGAAUGGCCUACAAGGUUUUCUUAUAUUCCUGUGGUGUCUUGCUUUGAGAUCUAAGUCUAAAUCUGAGACUAAUUCUUCAGUCAGAGACCAAUCAUCAUCACAAAAAAUGAUUGACACCAGUCUAUGACAGCUAGUUGAAGAAAUUUUACAUGGACUUAUUUACUGAACUUUGUAACUGAGACAAUCCUAAAUCCUUGUUUGCUGCUAUUCGUAAUUAUAGGGGGAUACCUAAAAUAAGUCUGUUCAAAAGAGAAUUAUUUUUCCUCUUUUUCAACUGAAAUAAUUUCUUCUGUCAGACUAGUGUUUGUUUGUUGGGGUCGUACCUUGACAUGUUUGUCUGCAGUCAUCCUCAGAAGAGUCAUAAGAUGUUCUUGUUAUGCAGGGUGAUCCUUCCCCCAGAGUCCUCUUUGUAGUACUCUCCCAUAGUGGCCUGCUCUGAGGCAGAUGGGUCCUGCUAACGUCAUGUGCAUGGGAGCGCAUUAUGAACAAACUUGGGAGUGAGUGAGAAAAGAGCAAAGUAAAUAGGCCUGUUACUUAUCAUGGUCAAAAUCAGGCAUAUAAGAAUUAAUGUCAAUGCAUCUAUUUAUUAGUAAAAUUAAUUAAUCAUCA
Boleophthalmus pectinirostris (great blue-spotted mudskipper) is the source of this 645-nucleotide long non-coding RNA. RefSeq lists it as uncharacterized. The record is from RefSeq and is a predicted model, not a curated record. The transcript has 2 exons. Lineage: Eukaryota; Metazoa; Chordata; Actinopteri; Gobiiformes; Gobiidae.